GACGAACGCUUGGCGGCGUGCUUAACACAUGCAAGUCGAACGAGGUCCAGCCGAGCUUUCGGGCAAAGCGAAGACCUAGUGGCGAACGGGUGCGUAACACGUGAGGAACCUGCCCCGGACUUGGGAAUAACAGUCGGAAACGUCUGCUAAUACCGAAUACCUUCGUAGCGUCGCAUGGCGCAUCGAAGAAAGCUUUUGCGGUUUGGGAGGGCCUCGCGGCCUAUCAGCUAGUUGGCGAGGUAACGGCUCACCAAGGCAUCGACGGGUAGCUGGUCUGAGAGGAUGAUCAGCCACACUGGGACUGAGACACGGCCCAGACUCCUACGGGAGGCAGCAGUGGGGAAUAUUGCACAAUGGGCGAAAGCCUGAUGCAGCAACGCCGCGUGCGGGAAGAAGGCCUUAGGGUUGUAAACCGCUUUCAGCAGGGAAGAAACUGACGGUACCUGCAGA
RNAcentral lists this ribosomal RNA (450 nucleotides) under uncultured bacterium. RNAcentral describes it as "bacterial SSU rRNA". It matches the Rfam family "Bacterial small subunit ribosomal RNA", at positions 28 to 485 of the family's 1533-position model. The record is from RNAcentral.